UACGGAGGAUGCGAGCGUUAUCCGGAUUUAUUGGGUUUAAAGGGUGCGCAGGCGGAGGUGCAAGUCAGCGGUCAAAUUGCGGGGCUCAACCCCGUACUGCCGUUGAAACUGCAUCCCUUGAGUGCGCGAGAAGUAUGCGGAAUGCGUGGUGUAGCGGUGAAAUGCAUAGAUAUCUGGAGGAACACCGGUGGCGAAGGCGGCCUGCUGGACGGCGACUGACGUUGAGGCUCGAAGGCGUGGGGAGCAAACAGG
This 252-nucleotide ribosomal RNA is filed under the name uncultured Bacteroidales bacterium. RNAcentral describes it as "partial 16S ribosomal RNA". It matches the Rfam family "Bacterial small subunit ribosomal RNA", at positions 524 to 776 of the family's 1533-position model. Lineage: Bacteria; Pseudomonadati; Bacteroidota; Bacteroidia; Bacteroidales. The record is from RNAcentral.